UUUUCCGCGCCGUAGCUAACGCAUUAAGUGCCCCGCCUGGGGAGUACGGCCGCAAGGCUAAAACUCAAAGAAAUUGACGGGGGCCCGCACAAGCGGCGGAGCAUGUGGAUUAAUUCGAUGCAACGCGAAGAACCUUACCUGGGUUUGACAUGGAUCGGGAGUGCUCAGAGAUGGGUGUGCCUCUUUUGGGGUCGGUUCACAGGUGGUGCAUGGCUGUCGUCAGCUCGUGUCGUG
This 234-nucleotide ribosomal RNA is filed under the name Prymnesium parvum. RNAcentral's name for it is "partial Bacterial small subunit ribosomal RNA". It matches the Rfam family "Bacterial small subunit ribosomal RNA", at positions 837 to 1069 of the family's 1533-position model. The record is from RNAcentral. Lineage: Eukaryota; Haptophyta; Prymnesiales; Prymnesiaceae.